Molecule: microRNA precursor, 144 nt
Filed under: Gossypium arboreum
Lineage: Eukaryota; Viridiplantae; Streptophyta; Magnoliopsida; Malvales; Malvaceae
Description: MIR7502 microRNA precursor family
Rfam family: MIR7502 microRNA precursor family
Source: Rfam by way of RNAcentral
UUUUUAAAAUUUUAUCCACUUGUAGUGUUAAAAACUAGCAUAACUAAUGGAAUAACCAGAUAUAAUACGUGGCAUGCCAUGUGUAUAUUAUGUUGACAUACAAGGACUCAUUUUUAACAGUAGAAAUGAAUAAAAUUUUUAACA